CAACUGCAGUUGAGGAGGUCAAAAUGGUCAACAGCUACCUGUCUCGUUGUGGCCUCACAACCAAGUAUCUAAUUGAUGCCUAUUUAUAAUAUUUUAGGAAACCUGUCUUUAUUUUUUCACUUUUUUAUUCUUUCUGUCUAGUACUUUGGGAUUGCAUAAGAGUAAGCUGUAACUGUUCAAAGUACAUAAAAAAUUGGCAUGUAGUUCUCUCUUAAAUUUUAAACUCAAUUGUCAGUUUCUGGAUUAAUUGAAAUACCACAAGCAUUAAUGGGACCUUUCUUCCUUCAUCACAUACAUGUCUUGUUAAUAGCCAGGAAUGACAUGCUAACUGUCCAUGCUAUUGGGUGGAACCAACGGAAGCAAGAAGGCCUUCAGCAUUAUCCAGCAGAUACAUCAAGAAAGGCUGAGUCUCAGAGAUGGGAAGAUUUGAGCAGUGAACUGGGGUGUCCUGAGAACAUUGUGAAUCAGUGGGUACAAGAUGUCAGACAAAAGGCUACUGAUGGAUUUGGUAGGUACCAGAUGUGAUGACCUACACAACCUUCAGAAAUGAAUUGAACAAAUGUUUCUUAGUCUUCAUCGAAAAGCCAGCCUUUAUAAUCACACUGAAUCCAGCAACACCCUCACCAAGAAGAUUUCAAAAGUGCGCCUUCAAGAAGCAAAGAUCAUUGUGAUGAGGGAGAUGAGACACCACUGCACCGCACCUAUCUCAGAAGCCUGGCUAGGAACAUCAGGAAAAUGAUAUCAGAAAUGUCUUCAGGCAAAAACAGUGGCAGUUUAAGUGAAGAGUGUCAUCGCUGGCUACUGUGUCGUCUUCAGAAAAGGCUUGCAGAUGUAGAGAAGUUCCAAGUUUGCUCAAGUUACAGCCAGGCUUUAGGACAGUGUUCUUCACUCCCAACCCCGGAGAGCGGGUGUCCUGCAGACUUUA
Molecule: non-coding RNA, 925 nt
Organism: Misgurnus anguillicaudatus (oriental weatherfish)
Lineage: Eukaryota; Metazoa; Chordata; Actinopteri; Cypriniformes; Cobitidae
Source: RefSeq, a predicted model, not a curated record